GUGGGUAUAGCUGAAGUGAUAGAGUGCAUGUUUAGCAUGCAUGAGGUCCUGGGUUCAACCCCUAGUACCUCCU
Camelus ferus (Wild Bactrian camel) is the source of this 73-nucleotide transfer RNA. It matches the Rfam family "tRNA". From Rfam's summary of the family: Transfer RNA (tRNA) molecules are approximately 80 nucleotides in length. Their secondary structure includes four short double-helical elements and three loops (D, anti-codon, and T loops). NCBI's taxonomy places the organism in Eukaryota, Metazoa, Chordata, Mammalia, Artiodactyla, Camelidae. The record is from Rfam.